CAGCCGUAAACUAUGCUCGCUAGGUGUCAGGGACGGUGCGACCGUUUCUGGUGCCGCAGGGAAGCCGUGAAGCGAGCCACCUGGGAAGUACGGUCGCAAGGCUGAAACUUAAAGGAUUGGCGGGGGAGCACUACAACGGGUGGAGCCUGCGGUUUAAUUGGACUCAACGCUGGAAACUCACCGGGGGCGACAGCAAUAUGAAGGCCAAGCUGAAGACUUUGCCGGAUUAGCUGAGAGGAGGUGCAUGGCGUAGUCGUGU
This 259-nucleotide ribosomal RNA is filed under the name uncultured archaeon. RNAcentral's name for it is "partial 16S ribosomal RNA". It matches the Rfam family "Archaeal small subunit ribosomal RNA", at positions 748 to 1009 of the family's 1478-position model. The record is from RNAcentral.